Molecule: long non-coding RNA, 3797 nt
Filed under: Ovis aries (sheep)
Lineage: Eukaryota; Metazoa; Chordata; Mammalia; Artiodactyla; Bovidae
Description: lncRNA (ENSOARG00000025387.1)
Source: RNAcentral
GAAAGAGGCAAGGGGCAGAUGGCAGCAGACUGGGACACAGAGAAGAGCACCACAAGGGUCAAGGUAUACAUCUAAGCAAAACAACAACUCAAGAUCAUGGCACAUGACUGCAGAACAGCAAAUAUUGAUCAGGGAACACAGCCAGCUGACUUCUUAUGUGAACGGGAGCCAGAAAAACCAGAGAGCUCCAAACUAAGCUUCUGCACGGACAGAGCACGGGAGAAAAUGGAACUACAAUUGGAGGGGCUGCCGAGUUCAACCACUACAGAAGAUAACACUUUGAGGCGAUCCAGCAGCGCCCCUUUGAUCAGUGGCCUUGGUGAUAGUUCACAAGUGUUACGAUCUGAUUCAAUAACAACUCGAAGAAACAGUGCAACAUGUAUGACACAACACAGUCUGUUUGUGCCAUCUUCUCCCGGUCUUGCUUCCAUCAGUCACCUCCAUCAAAUUAAACAGAAGAACAACGAGGUACAGAAACCAUCUUCUGCAAACUGCACUGAUUUAAUUCCAGCAUCUGCAGCAGCUUCUCUCACCGAGGUGACUGGCAAGAAGAAGUCAAAGUGCCGCCAGUACUAUUAGAUCAAGUGUCCUUGGCCCAUUAAAAGGAAAAGGUGAAAUGACAUCUGAACACCAUCCAAAGAGAAUUUUCCAAGGCACAACCACCAUGCUUUCUUCUGAUACUAAUCCUAGUGUUUGAUAGGAAUAUGUGGUAAGUAUUAACAUGAGACUUUGAGUAUUCAUUGGCUACUUUGGGUUUUUCAGUCUACUUUGGCUAUCGUACAUAUUCAAAAGUGUGGUAUAUUAUGAAAUAUUUUUAGUAAGGUUUAUAAAAUGACUAUCCCAAAUGGAUAUCAUUAACUAGUUCUUCUACCCAACACUUAGUAUAUGGUAGACACAUUUUUAGAAGUGGGCUUUUGGCAUUAGAUUAAGAGGUAUUAGAGAAAUAUUAAUACAUAAAAAUGCAAGCUUAGGAAAGAGUCAUCUGCCCAUCUUUUCCACCUUGGAUUUUUGGACUUUUUUAGGCUGAGCAUAUGAUUUAAAAGUGUGCCAAGAAAGCAAAUAAUCAAAAUGGGAAACACAGUGAAUGGAUUUUUAUUAUCAUUACUGUUGGUUUUUUUUACUCCUCUUAUGAAACUGCUCCUGUAACCAGUGCCAAUUCCUUGUUCAUUUUGCAUUCAUUUGUACACAAAGCGCAGAGAUCUCUUGAAUUCUGUUAUCAAUGAGUGGCAUUUUCUUUUCCUAAUCUAUACUCAGAUGUUCUUGAUAGAAACAACAGUAGUGCAGGAUCAUCUCACAGUUCACCAGCGAAAAUCAGCACUGUCACAAACUCUCCUGUGUUGCCUUCUGAUUCUAGUUCUCCAUUUAUUGUAAUUGAUGAACUUUCAACUAAAUGAUUCACUCAUCCUAAGACUUUCUCCCCAAUGGAGAAACACACAUGCACUCACUUGCUUGAUCUCUCUCUCUCACACACACACACACAUGUUGGUUCAGUAACAGAAUUGUCUGUGAUAUAAUUGACUAUUUCUUAUUUAUGGAUCAGUAACAGAACUGUCUGUGAUAUAAUUGACUAUUUCUUAUUUAUCUUUUUUUCUCAAUUUCCUAAAAUUCUGUUUAUUUACAGAACUUGCAUGUCUAAUUCCUGUGUAUGCUCUUAAAAGCAACGUAGUAAUACUUUCAAAGAUAUUUUCCAAACAAGAUGUAUCUUGAAGAUACAAUCAUACAUCUUCAGGUUGCUAAUAUAUAGAAACAUGCUGCGCCUUGACUUAAAAAAAAAAAAAUUGAGAGCUCUAUUUAUGUGAAUAAAAAAUAAAUAAAAUUUACAUUCUAAUGAAAUAUCAUUCCAUUAAUCAACAGGUAAAAUGAUUUUGAAGACUAUGUGCUGAAUAUUUAUGCUAGUUUUUUUAAUAUUUUCAGUAAUUGCUAGUUUCCAUUCUGUAAAGAAAAAUCAUCUAUCAAAAGCAGUUUUAAAAACUAAGCUAGUUAUACCGUACUGAUCCAAGAAUUGCCAAUUUUUCACAUGAAUCCUUGGAUGUUUAAUUUGUUGGGAAGAAAUACGUAGGGGAGGCAAGAUGAAUGGAAGCUAAUUGAAUAGCAAGAAAAUAAUAUGUAAUUGGGGCUUCACUCAAUUUGUACUUAACCUGAUUAUCCCUGAUCAAUUUUGUAUUCUAAUUAAGUGUGAAAAAAGACAAUGUGGAUAAAUUGUGGUCUUUUACAUUCUAUGAAUUACCUUGUAUUCAUCAUCAUGACUACUGAUUUGAUUAAAUACAGGCUUAAUAUGUUAGGGCUUUUCUGCAAGAAUCAUGUGCUUCCAGUUGUUUCCAAAGGGUUAUAAUGAUUUGUUUAAAACCCAAUUUUCUCUUCAAAAGUCUUAAGGAUCUUUUAAAUAAGAAAAAUCAUCUGUUAAAAAUUUUAAAUCUAAAGUAAGUGCUCUAAGUAAUUGGGGCUAGUAUUAGCAUUUUGAAAAAUAGAAAUGUGUUAUAUCUUCAUGAAAUGAAGUUGAGAAUUGGUUUAAAUUUCCUCAGCUAAUGAAGGUAGAAAUGGCUAUCUAAAAUAUUUAUUAAAUGUUUUUCUUUGUCAUUAGAAAUAAUCAGAAUGAUUGAAAUCUGAUGUAUGUGUAUCCCACGUGGGAAAAAGAUAGGCAUCAAGAAUCUUUUGUCAAUGGCCGUGAUAGAAUUGAUUAGAAUGGAUAUAUAUUGUGUGUGGGGGUGGGGGAGGGCAGAGUCUAUUCACCUAUGGAUAAGUGAAACUGAAUAUUUCUGAGAUGACGGGGAUCAUCCUGAAACUGGGAUAGAAUUCUACAAAUCAACUUAGGACACGUGAACUAUGAAUAUUGCCUUUGUUAUUUAGCUUCUUGCCAGACAUUAGUUGAUGAGUUGUGAACAUAUAAGGGGGCUCUCACAGAAUGAGGUAUGAUUGCAGUGAUGUUACUUGCUGAAAUUAUAUAUUAUUGACAAAAAAAAAGGUCCCCAUGCAUUUAUUUGACACUUCAGCAAAAAAAAAAAAAAAGUUUUUCAGAAUGAUCAAAGACUAAGGAUGGAGAAAGUAAGCAAUGAGGGUGAGACUGUAACUCAGCGUGUGAGGAACUUUCAUCCAGAAAUCUUGGUAAUCUUGACUGUCUCAUCCUAAUACACUUUUUUUCAACUCAGACAAUUUCUUUCACUCUAUUUUCUUAGUUUUUAUUGUUUUAGUUGAAUCCUAGGGUGCCACAACUCACUAUAAUAUGCUCAGAAUUGAGGACCUUGUGGUUGGUUUUCUAUUCUAUUACAUUUUGAACUUGUACAUCGGGAGGCUCUAUUUCUUAAAUGAUUUUACAUUUAUUAAUUUUCAGAUCAAAGCAAUUCUAAGUUUUACAGGAGAUAUUUUGUAGUUAAGUUUUAAAAAUUAUAAUAAGACCAUGUUUUGUAAUUCUAAACAUGCUGAGGAACUGCCAUACCAAUUUUUCACAGUGAGGGACAUGUACUAGUUCCUUAGGGCUGCAAUAACACAGUACCACAAACUGGGUAGCCCAAAAUAAUAGAAAUGGAUUAUAUCUGUAGAGACCCUCUUUUCAAAUAAGGUCACAUUAAGAGGUGCAGGGAGUUAGAACUUCACCAUUAUCUUUCUGUGGAUAUAAUUCAACCCACAACAGGAUGGUUAGGGAAUUUUUGAUUGUUCCAAUUUUUUAAAUUAGUUUUUUAAAUCACCUAUCUUAUAACUCAUCUUUAAAAGUGUGAGAACAAGAGGUGAUCAUAUUUACAUGUGUUUGUAUGUCUUCUUAUACAUUUAUAUAUAUUAAUAAUUAUAAUUAUAAAUAUAUU